UAGGGAAUAUUGCGCAAUGGAGGAAACUCUGACGCAGCGACGCCGCGUGGGUGACGAAGGUCUUCGGAUCGUAAAGCCCUGUCGGAUGGGAAGAAAAACGGUAUGGCUAACAUCCAUACCGCUUGACGGUACCAUAAGAGGAAGCCCCGGCUAACUUCGUGCCAGCAGCCGCGGUAAUACGAAGGGGGCAAGCGUUGUUCGGAAUCAUUGGGCGUAAAGCGCGUGUAGGAUGUCUAUUAAGUCGGGUGUGAAAUCCCUGGGCUCAACCGAGGAAGUGCAUUCGAAACUGAUAGACUAGAAGGUGGUAGAGGAAGGUGGAAUUCCAAGUGUAGAGGUGAAAUUCGUAGAUAUUUGGAGGAAUACCGGUGGCGAAGGCGGCCUUCUGGGCCACCCUUGACUCUGAGACGCGAAAGCGUGGGUAGCAAACAGGAUUAGAUACCCCGGUAGUCC
RNAcentral lists this ribosomal RNA (450 nucleotides) under uncultured bacterium. RNAcentral describes it as "bacterial SSU rRNA". It matches the Rfam family "Bacterial small subunit ribosomal RNA", at positions 355 to 796 of the family's 1533-position model. The record is from RNAcentral.